GCCGGAGUGGCGGAAUUGGCAGACGCACAGGACUUAAAAUCCUGCGAUCCCUAAAGAUCGUACCGGUUCGACCCCGGUCUCCGGCACCA
RNAcentral lists this transfer RNA (89 nucleotides) under Candidatus Allocopromorpha excrementigallinarum. Its description in RNAcentral is "tRNA-Leu". It matches the Rfam family "tRNA". Rfam says of the family: Transfer RNA (tRNA) molecules are approximately 80 nucleotides in length. Their secondary structure includes four short double-helical elements and three loops (D, anti-codon, and T loops). Lineage: Bacteria; Bacillati; Bacillota; Clostridia; Eubacteriales; Eubacteriaceae. The record is from RNAcentral.